CCUACGGGUGGCAGCAGUGGGGAAUAUUGGACAAUGGGGGGAACCCUGAUCCAGCCAUGCCGCGUGUGUGAAGAAGGCCCUCGGGUUGUAAAGCACUUUCAGUGAGGAAGAACGCCUGGUGGUUAAUACCCAUCAGGAAAGACAUCACUCACAGAAGAAGCACCGGCUAACUCCGUGCCAGCAGCCGCGGUAAUACGGAGGGUGCGAGCGUUAAUCGGAAUUACUGGGCGUAAAGCGCGCGUAGGUGGCUUGAUAAGCCGGUUGUGAAAGCCCCGGGCUCAACAUGGGAACGGCAUCCGGAACUGUCAAGCUAGAGUGCAGGAGAGGAAGGUAGAAUUCCCGGUGUAGCGGUGAAAUGCGUAGAGAUCGGGAGGAAUACCAGUGGCGAAGGCGGCCUUCUGGACUGACACUGACACUGAGGUGCGAAAGCGUGGGUAGCAAACAGGAUUAGAUACCCUAGUAGUC
Molecule: ribosomal RNA, 465 nt
Filed under: Vreelandella stevensii
Lineage: Bacteria; Pseudomonadati; Pseudomonadota; Gammaproteobacteria; Oceanospirillales; Halomonadaceae
Description: partial 16S ribosomal RNA
Rfam family: Bacterial small subunit ribosomal RNA
Source: RNAcentral